UUGAAAUCGGACAGUGUGGUUAGUUAAAGGAGAGUCUUGUCUUUAAAAUGCUGUGAAAUAGUCAUAUGUUUUAAUAGCCUGCAGAACUGUUGCUGUUGUCAGCUUUAUUGUUUUGUCAAGUGGAUGCUUUACUCCUUUUUUAAAAUUAAAAAUGAGUAUUCACAUACCUGCUGCGCCUUGGUCUUCUCUCCAUGACAACUUCUGUUACAGUCUAUUUGUCAAUAACAUCUGGUGCGCGAUGUCUAAUAUUAAAGAAGCCUUGAGGUAUUGCUCGCCUGAGGUAAAGAACCUUAUGAUAAGCUGUAAACCACACUAUCUACCAAGAGAGUUCUCAUCUGUUUUAUUCGUAGCCAUCUAUUUACCAACACAGAACGAAUCUGGCACUAAUGUUGCUCUCAACCAACUCUAUAAGGCCAUGAGCAAAGAAGAAAAUGCUCACCCAGAAGUGGCGCUCCUAGUGGCCGGGGACUUUAAUGCAGGCAAACCUAAAUCAGUUUUACCAAAUAUUUUCCAGCAUGUCACAUGUGCAACCAGAGAAAAAGAAUCCACGACCUCCUUUACUCCACACACAGAGAUGCAUAGAAAGCUCUACCCCGCCCUCCAUUUGGCAAAUCUGACCAUAAUUAUAUCCUCCUGAUUCCUGCUUACAAGCAAAAAACUAAAGCAGGAAGUACCAGGGUCUCGCUCAAGUGGUCAGAUUACGCGGAUGCUACACUACAGGACUGUUUUGCUAGCACAGACUGGAAUAUGUUCCGGGAUUCAUCCAAUGGCAUUGAGGAGUACACCACCUCAGUCAUCGGCUUCAUCAAUAAGUGCAUCGACGACGUCGUCCCCACAGUGACUGUACGUACAUAUCCCAACCAGAAGCCAUGGAUUACAGGAAACAUCCGCAUCAAGCUGAAGGCUAGAGCUGCCACUUUCAAGGAGUGGGAAACUAAUCCAGGCGCUUAUAAUAAAUCCCGCUAUGCCCUCAGACGAACCAUCAAACAAGCAAAGCGUAAAUACAGGAUUAAGAUUGAAUGGUCAUGACUCACAUCAACAGCAUCCUCCCGGACACCCUAGACCCACUCCAAUUCACAUAUCGCCCCAACAAAUCUACAGAUCUCGAUCGCACUCCACACUGCCCUUUCUCACCUGGACAACAGGAACACCUAUGUGAGAAUGCUGUUCAUUGAUUACAGCUCAGCGUUCAACACCAUAGUGCCCACAAAGCUCAUCACUAAGCUAAGGACUCUGGGACUAAACACCUCCCUCUGCAACAGGAUCCUGGACUUCCUGACGGACCGUCCCCAGGUGGUAAGAGUAAGUAACAACACGUCUGCCACGCUGAUCCUUAACACUGGGGCCCAUCAGGGGUGUGUACUUAGUCCCCUCCUGUAUUCCCUGUUCACCCACGACUACGUGGCCAAACACGACUCCAACACCACCAUUAAGUUUGCUGACGACACAACAGUGGUAGGCCUGAUCACCGACAACGAAGAGACGGCCUAUAGGGAGGAGGUCAGAGUACUGGCAGUGUGCUGCCAGGACAACAAUCUCUCCCUCAAUGUGAGCAAGAUCAAGGAGCUGAUCAUGGACUUCAGGAAAAGGUGGGCUGAACAGGCCCCCAUUAACAUCAAUGGGGCUGUAGUGGAGCGGGUCGAGAGCUUCAAGUUCCUUGGUGUCAACAUCAUCAACGAACUAUCAUGGUCCAAACAUACCAAGACAGGGGUAAAGAGGGCACAACAAAUUAUUUUCCCACUCAGGAGACUGAAAAGAUUUGGCAUGGGUCCCUAGAUCCUCAAACGGUUCUACAGCUGCACCAUCGAGAGCAUCCUGACCGGUUGCAUCACCACCUGGUAUGGCAACUGCUCGGCAUCUGACCGUAAGGUGCUACAGAGAGUAGUGUGAACGGCCCAGUACAAGCUUCCUGCCAUCCAGGACCUAUACAAUAGUCGGUGUCAGAGGAAAGCCCAUAAAAUUGAGACUCCAGUCACCCAAGUUAUAGACUGUUUUCUCUGCUACCGCACGGCAAGCAGUACCGGAGCGCCAAGUCUAGGACCAAAAGGCUCCUUAACAGCUUCUGCCCCCAAGCCAUAAGACUGCUGAACAAUUAAUCAAAUGGCCACCAGACUAUUUACAUUGACACCCCCCCUCCGCCCCCUUCCUUUUUGUACACUGCUGCUACUCGCUGUUUAUUAUCUAUACAUAGUCACUUCACCCCCACCUACAUGUACAAAUUACCUCAACUAGCCUGUACCCCGCACACUGACUCGGUACCGGAGCCCCCUGUAUAUAGCCUCGUUAUUGUUAUUCUUAUUGUGUUACUUUUUAUUAUUACUUUUUAUUUUAGUCUACUUGGUAAAUAUUUUCUUAACUCUUUCUUGAACUGCAUUGUUGGUUAAGGGCUUGUAAGUAAGCACAUGGUAAAGUCUACAUUUGUUGUAUUCGGAGCAUGUGACAAAUAACGUUUCAUUUGAUUUACUUUUACUCAAGUAUGAAAAUUGGGUACUUUUUCCACCACUGCUUGUUUCAUUGUAAAUAAGAAUCUGUUCUUAACUGACUUGCCUAGCUAAAAAAGGUUACAUAAAAACAUUUUUUUUAAAUCUAAAUAAAGGUGAACAAAAAAUAUUAAAUAAAUAUAAACAAAUACUGGGCUAUAUUGUAUGACCAUGUUUCUGUUGUUGUGUCACGUAUACUCCCUCUCCAGCCUCUAGGUCAUCAGGCUGCUGAUUAUCCUCCCUCUCUGACCUCUAGGUCAUCAGGCUACUGAUUAUACUCCCUCUCCAGCCUCUAGGUCAUCAGGCUACUGAUUAUACUCCCUCUCCAGCCUCUAGGUCAUCAGGCUACUGAUUAUACUCCCUCUCCAGCCUCUAGGUCAUCAGGCUGCUGAUUAUACUCCCUCUCUGACCUCUAGGUCAUCAGGCUGCUGAUUAUACUCCCUCUCCAGCCUCUAGGUCAUCAGGCUGCUGAUUAUCCUCCCUCUCUGACCUCUAGGUCAUCAGGCUACUGAUUAUACUCCCUCUCCAGCCUCUAGGUCAUCAGGAUGCUGAUUAUCCUCCCUCUCCGACCUCUAGGUCAUCAGGCUGCUGAUUAUCCUCCCUCUCCUUCCUCUAGGUCAUCAGGCUGCUGAUUAUCCUCCCUCUCUGACCUCUAGGUCAUCAGGCUGCUGAUUAUUCUCCCUCUCUGACCUCUAGGUCAUCAGGCUGCUGAUUAUACUCCCUCUCCUUCCUCUAGGUCAUCAGGCUGCUGAUUAUACUCCCUCUCCUUCCUCUAGGUCAUCAGACUGCUGAUUAUCCUCCCUCUCCAGCCUCUAGGUCAUCAGACUGCUGAUUAUCCUCCCUCUCUGACCUCUAGGUCAUCAGACUGCUGAUUAUACUCCCUCUCCAGCCUCUAGGUCAUCAGGCUGCUGAUUAUCCUCCCUCUCUGACCUCUAGGUCAUCAGACUGCUGAUUAUCCUCCCUCUCUGACCUCUAGGUCAUCAGACUGCUGAUUAUCCUCCCUCUCCUCCCUCUAGGUCAUCAGGCUGCUGAUUAUCGUCCCUCUCUGACCUCUAGGUCAUCAGGCUGCUGAUUAUCCUCCCUCUCCUUCCUCUAGGUCAUCAGACUGCUGAUUAUUCUCCCUCUCCAGCCUCUAGGUCAUCAGACUGCUGAUUAUACUCCCUCUCUGACCUCUAGGUCAUCAGGCUGCUGAUUAUCCUCCCUCUCUGACCUCUAGGUCAUCAGACUGCUGAUUAUUCUCCCUCUCCAGCCUCUAGGUCAUCAGGCUGCUGAUUAUACUCCCUCUCCAGCCUCUAGGUCAUCAGACUGCUGAUUAUCCUCCCUCUCCAGCCUCUAGGUCAUCAGGAUGCUGAUUAUACUCCCUCUCCAGCCUCUAGGUCAUCAGGAUGCUGAUUAUACUCCCUCUCCGGCCUCUAGGUCAUCAGGCUGCUGAUUAUCCUCCCUCUCCAGCCUCUAGGUCAUCAGGCUGCUGAUUAUCCUCCCUCUCUGACCUCUAGGUCAUCAGGCUGCUGAUUAUCCUCCCUCUCCUUCCUCUAGGUCAUCAGGCUGCUGAUUAUCCUCCCUCUCUGACCUCUAGGUCAUCAGGCUGCUGAUUAUCCUCCCUCUCUGACCUCUAGGUCAUCAGGCUGCUGAUUAUACUCCCUCUCCAGCCUCUAGGUCAUCAGGCUGCUGAUUAUCCUCCCUCUCUGACCUCUAGGUCAUCAGGCUACUGAUUAUUCUCCCUCUCCAGCCUCUAGGUCAUCAGGCGACACAUCUCCUUCGCAUAGAGUUGAUCAGGCUGUUGAUUGUGGCCUGUGGAAUGUUGUCCCACUCCUCUUCAAUGGCUGUGCGAAGUUGCUGGAUAUUGGUGGGAACUGGAACUCGCUGUCGUACACGUAGAUCCCAAACAUGCUCAAUGGGUAACAUUUUCAGCUUCCAGGAUUUGUGUACAGAUUCUUGUGACAUGGGGCCGUGCAUUUCCAUGCUGAAACAUGAGGUGAUGCAGCGGAUGAAUGGCCUGACAAUCGCCCUCAGGAUCUCAUCACGGUAUCUCGUGCAUUAAAAUUGCCAUCUAUAAAAUGCAAUUGUGUUUGAUGUCCGUAGCUUAUGCCUGCCUAUACCAUUAUCCUACCACCAUCAUGGGGCACUCUGUUCACAAUGUUGACAUCAUCAAACCCCUCGCCCACACAAUGCCAUACACGCUGUCUGCCAUCUGCCCGGUACAGUUGAAACCGGGAUUCAUCUGUGAAGAGCACACUUCUCCAGCGUGCCAGUGGCCAUUGAAGGUGAGCAUUUGCCCACUGAAGCCGGUUACGAUGCCAAACUGCAUUCAUGUCCCUGGUGAGGACUAUGAGCACGCAGAUGCGCUUCCCUGAGUCGGUUUCUGAAAGUUUGUGCAGAAAUUCUUUGGUUGUGCUGUCCGGGUAUCCGGGUGGCUGGUCUCCGACGAUCCCGCAGGUGAAGGAGCUGGAUGUUGAGUUCCUGGGCUUGCGUGGUUACACAUGGUCUGCGGUUGUGAGGCCUGUUGGACAUACUACCAAGUUCUCUAAAAGACGUUGGAGAUGGCUUAUGAUAGAGAAAUUAACAUUUAAUUCUCUGGCAACAGCUCUGGUGGACAUUCCUGCAGUCAGCAUGCCAAUUGCAUGCUCCCUCAAAACUUGAGACAUCUGUGGCUUUGUGUUUUGUGACAAACAUGCUCAUUUUAAAGUGGCCUUUUACUGUCCCUGGCACAAGGUGCACCAGUGUUAUCAUCAUGCUGUUCAAUCAGCUUCUUGAUAUGACACACCUGUCAGGUGGAUGAGAACUGCUCACUAACAGGGAUGUAAACAAAUUUGUUCAGAAAAUGUGAGAGCUCAUGAAACAUGAACACAUUUUGUUCAGUGUAUGUUGUAUUUUUGGGGGUUGAUCUUCAUCAAGGGUGCCAGAGGGGUUGGGUUAAAUGCGGAAGACACAUUUCAGUUCAAGGCAUUCAGUUGUACAACUGACUUUGUAUCCCCCUUUCCUUUUCCUUUCCAAUAAUUGUGGAGGUGACUGUAUAGCAUCGGAGUUACAGUGUUCAGCUAUCUCCUUUUUCUUUUUCAGCUCAUUAUCUGCCUUGUUAGCAUCACAAGACUAUUUUAGGACUUCACUUCCACCCUCAUAAAACAGUACUUGAUAAAUAUGUGGGUGGGGGGGGCUGGCGCCUUAAAGAAGUGUCCAGACCACUCUGGAGUUUGGUGUAUCCGGAAUGACAUCCUCAAGAGGACAUCUAGUUAGAAUGUAAUAAGUGGCGCCAAUGGCAAACGUGUUUUAAGGAUAUACAAUAAACAAUCUUAGGUAGUCUUUCAGGGCUUAUACAGGUGGGUAAUUAUUGUGGGUUUAAAAAGAAAGUUGAAACCAUCAACAAAUCCCCUUUCUUGGUUCAAUCUCAAUGGAACCUUCUCUUGAUUUACUGUGUCAAAUUUUUCGACUGAGCUGACAGGUUUAAAUGUAGAGACCUAAAGCAGUUGUGUGUUUAUAAAAUAGUAAUGUUGCUAGGUGUGUCAGAGAGGGAAAGAGGGAGAGAGAGGGGGAAGAUGAGAGAGAGGGACAGUGAAAGGCUAAAGAGAAGGAAGGAGGGUAGGUGUCAGGCCCUCAUGAGUUUGUUUAUGGUGAGAUGUCUUAAUCAGUGCUACUCCACUUCCUGUGUCUGAGACACAUGCAAGAUUCCUCCUAACUAACGCUUUGUUUUCAAUCACUCUCUAUCACUGUCAGUCUCUCUUGCCCUUUCUCUCUCCCUCUCCCUCUCUCUCUUUCUCUCCCUCUCCUCUCUGCUUGCUCUCUCUCCCUCUCUGUUCUCUCUCUUACUGUCCCUUUUCUCUCUCUCUGUUUGUUUGACUAGAGUUAUGAUAUGUCUAAUUUUAGCUUGAUGUUCCUGUUGAGAAUGUAAUAUGACCGAUGUCAUUGACUGAUCCUGAUGGGGUCACACACAUAAUCUCAUCUGUGGAAUGUCUUUGUCAACAGUCCAUUUGAUGUUGUCUGUGUUGAUCGCUAUGCAGAUGAGGGUUAGGGGUCAUGCCAAUAUGGUUCCUGGAAACUUUGGACACUUCAUACCCGCUAGUAUUGUUCUAAAUAAAGUCUCCACUGUUAUCUCCUUUCACAUGAACAGGGGUUUUAUGUUUCUGAUAUGAAAGAAGUGAGGUCCUCAUCUUUAUUGUCUUUUGAUGAACUUGUAUGACCUAGUCGGUCAUUUUAAGAUAGAACAACAGAUAUUUCCAAAACCAUAAGAAACAAAUAAUCCAUUAUAACUAUGCUCUCCUGGACUAAAACAUUUCUAUUUAAAACAUUUCUAUUCUACCUUAUCUCUAGGAGGCACCAAAGAAGUGCUGAAUGUGAAGAGACUAAUUCAACAAAAUAAAACAACAUCAAUUAACAACACUGCCACCAACCAAAACUUUGUGUCACUCACCCACAGUUGAUUGGGCAAUGCCAAGUAAGUCAGCAUUUCAGCAACAGCACCCAACAUCUGGUCUGUCCGUCCCUGGAUCUUCUGAAGAGCGUUCAUCCUUCCUUCAAUACCUCUCUUAUUCUACUUCCCCCUCUCGUUCUUCCUUUCCCCUCCUGAAAGUCCUCACUCUGUUUUUGCCCAUCUCUCUCCUCAUUCAUUCUCUCUUGUUUUCUCCUCCUCUCCUCCACAGUGUCACUAUUUCUCUCCUCCUCUCCUCCAGUCUGUCACUAUUUCUCUCCUCCUCUCCUCCACAGUGUCACUAUUUCUCUCCUCCUCUCCUCCACAGUGUCACUAUUUCUCUCCUCCUCUCCUCCAGUCUGUCACUAAUUCUCUCCUCCUCUCCUCCACAGUGUCACUAUUUCUCUCCUCCUCUCCUCCAGUCUGUCACUAUUUCUCUCCUCCUCUCCUCCACAGUGUCACUAUUUCUCUCCUCCUCUCCUCCAGUCUGUCACUAUUUCUCUCCUCCUCUCCUCCACAGUGUCACUAUUUCUCUCCUCCUGUCACGUCCUGACCAGUAAUAGGGGUUAUUUGUAUUAUUUGGUCAGGGCGUGGCAGAGGUAUUUUUGUUUUGUAUGGUGGUUUUUUUUUGUGUAUAGCUUAGAGGGGUGUGUUAUUUAUGUGUUCCGGGGUUUUGUGGUGUAUGUUUUAGUAUGAGUAGGUUCUAGGUUAAGUUUUCUAUGUGCAGAUUUGGUUGCUGGACUCUCAAUUGGAGGCAGGUGUUUCUAGUUGCCUCUGAUUGGGAGUCCUAUAAGUAGGUGUGUGUUUUGUUUGUCACUUGUGGGUAGUUGUAUGUUAGCACUGCUUUUGUUUAGCCUGCUACACUGUUCCUGUCGUGAGUUUUGUUUAUAGUUUUUUUUCCUCGUGUUCACAUUUAAAAUAAAUGAUGAUGAGCAUGCAAUCCGCUGCAUAUUGGUCCACUUUGUCCGACAGCGAUUUUAACAUCUUCUGACGAAGAGGAAUGUGACACAGAGGGUAUUUGUUUUAUGUGGUUCGGGGGAUAUGAGUAUUAUAGAGGGGUGUUUUAUUUAUGUAUUACGGGGUUUUGGUGUAUGUUCUGGGUUUUGUAUUCUAGGUUGGUUUUCUAGUUUGUUUAUUUCUGUGUGGCUCCCGAUCAGGAACAGCUGUACAUCGUUGUUCCUGAUUGGGAGUCAUAUAUUAGUUGCGUGUUUUCACCUGGGGAUUUGUGGGUAGUGUAUUUCGCACUGCUGUGAGUAUUAGCCUGUGAAACUGUUGGUCUGUCGUUCUUUGUUUUCUUUUUUUUUCUGUGUUCACAUUUAUUUAAUAAAAUAUAAUGAUGAACAUGCAACCCACUGCGCCUUGGUCCUCCCUCUCCUACGACAGCCGUUACAGAACUACCCACCAAAAAUGGACCAAGCAGCAGAGGAGGGAGCAACCGAUGGACUAUCGUGAGACAUGGGCAGAACUGAGGAUAAGCAUUUCCAGGGCUAUGGAGGAGUUAAGGGAGCCUGAGAGGCAGCCCCAAUAAUGUUUUGGGGGGGGGGCACACGGGUAGUUUGGCUGGGCGAGGAUUGAGCCCCAGGCCAAAUCCCCGUACCUUUUUUGGGCAACAUAUGACUGGACAGGUCCCGUGCUUUGGGGUGAUGGGUGCUGUGGCGAGGCCGGGUAUUUUCAGGCCGGUAUGCGCAGUACCAGCACCCCGCAUGUGCCAGGGGAAAGUGGGCAUCCAGCCAGUAGGGGUGAUGCCAGUCCUGCACUCGAGACCGCCAGUGCGCCUCUACGGUGUUGCGUGUUUCCCGCUACACACACUAGCCUUGAGGUCUCCAGGCUGGCACGUCCAGUACCAGCACCACGCAUCAAGCUUCCAGUGAGUCAGCCCAGUCCAACUCAGCCUGUCCCCGCUCCCCGCACUAGCCCGGAGGUGCGUGUCCCCAAACUGGC
This 8823-nucleotide long non-coding RNA is filed under the name Salmo salar (Atlantic salmon). RNAcentral's name for it is "lncRNA (ENSSSAG00000119698.1)". Lineage: Eukaryota; Metazoa; Chordata; Actinopteri; Salmoniformes; Salmonidae. The record is from RNAcentral.